UACGUAGGGAGCAAGCGUUGUCCGGAAUCAUUGGGCGUAAAGCGCGCGUAGGUGGCUUCGUAAGUCCGUUGUGAAAGUCAGAGGCUCAACCUUUGAAAGCCGAUGGAUACUGCGGAGCUAGAGUACGGAAGAGGCGAGUGGAAUUCCUGGUGUAGCGGUGGAAUGCGCAGAUAUCAGGAGGAACACCAAUAGCGAAGGCAGCUCGCUGGGACGUUACUGACACUGAGGCGCGAAAGCGUGGGGAGCGAACAGG
RNAcentral lists this ribosomal RNA (253 nucleotides) under uncultured bacterium. RNAcentral's name for it is "partial 16S ribosomal RNA". It matches the Rfam family "Bacterial small subunit ribosomal RNA", at positions 524 to 776 of the family's 1533-position model. The record is from RNAcentral.